ACCUGAUGUCCCCCUUUUUUUUUUAACUUCAGCUCUCCUCCUUGCUGCUUGACCCGACUGCACGUCUCACCUCAGGAGGAGAUUGUUGCUGCUGUUUUUAAUUAUUCGGGGUCCCCUGUUUCCCAUUUCAAGAGGUGUGGAUCUGCAAAUCCCUCCGCCCCACUUGUCAUGAAACUGAGCCAAACCAGCCUAUAAACAUUUGACAAAAAUGUAUGACUAAAAUAAAUAAAUAAAUAAAUAAAGCCUACAAGCAUUUUUACAUUUGUAUUUUCUGUAACUUUGUUCCUGAUGGUUUUUCUUCUGACUUGUAGAAUGUAUUUUUUUGUACAGCAACUUCUAAAUAAGGCUGCCAGAUUUGUUGUGAUAUAACAUAUAGAGUAAUGAGUAGAAACUUAUCUUGGACUAGUAUGAUA
Molecule: long non-coding RNA, 413 nt
Filed under: Gallus gallus (chicken)
Lineage: Eukaryota; Metazoa; Chordata; Aves; Galliformes; Phasianidae
Source: RNAcentral